This 271-nucleotide ribosomal RNA is filed under the name Clostridioides difficile. RNAcentral's name for it is "partial 23S ribosomal RNA". It matches the Rfam family "Bacterial large subunit ribosomal RNA", at positions 1154 to 1433 of the family's 2925-position model. Lineage: Bacteria; Bacillati; Bacillota; Clostridia; Peptostreptococcales; Peptostreptococcaceae. The record is from RNAcentral.
UGAUCCGGCGCCGAAGAUUUCCGGGGCUAAAACUUACUACCGAAGCUACGGCAUCAGUAAUGAUGGGUAGGGGAGCUUCCCAUACGGGUUGAAGCAUGACCGUAAGGACAUGUGGACAGUAUGGGAGGGAGAAUGUUGGCAUGAGUAGCGAGAUGUGGGUGAGAAUCCCACAGGCCGUAAACCCAAGGUUUCCAGGGGAAGGUUCGUCCGCCCUGGGUUAGUCGGGACCUAAGCUGAGGCCGAAAGGCGUAGGUGAUGGACAACAGGUUGA